AAUACCGGAUAGGAGCGUCCACCGCAUGGUGGGUGUUGGAAAGAUUUAUCGGUUUUGGAUGGACUCGCGGCCUAUCAGCUUGUUGGUGAGGUAAUGGCUCACCAAGGCGACGACGGGUAGCCGGCCUGAGAGGGUGACCGGCCACACUGGGACUGAGACACGGCCCAGACUCCUACGGGAGGCAGCAGUGGGGAAUAUUGCACAAUGGGCGCAAGCCUGAUGCAGCGACGCCGCGUGAGGGAUGACGGCCUUCGGGUUGUAAACCUCUUUCAGUAGGGAAGAAGCGAAAGUGACGGUACCUGCAGAAGAAGCACCGGCUAACUACGUGCCAGCAGCCGCGGUAAUACGUAGGGUGCGAGCGUUAUCCGGAAUUAUUGGGCGUAAAGAGCUCGUAGGCGGUUUGUCGCGUCUGUCGUGAAAGUCCGGGGCUUAACCCCGGAUCUGCGGUGGGUACGGGCAGACUAGAGUGCAGUAGGGGAGACUGGAAUUCCUGGUGUAGCGGUGGAAUGCGCAGAUAUCAGGAGGAACACCGAUGGCGAAGGCAGGUCUCUGGGCUGUAACUGACGCUGAGGAGCGAAAGCAUGGGGAGCGAACAGGAUUAGAUACCCUGGUAGUCCAUGCCGUAAACGUUGGGCACUAGGUGUGGGGACCAUUCCACGGUUUCCGCGCCGCAGCUAACGCAUUAAGUGCCCCGCCUGGGGAGUACGGCCGCAAGGCUAAAACUCAAAGGAAUUGACGGGGGCCCGCACAAGCGGCGGAGCAUGCGGAUUAAUUCGAUGCAACGCGAAGAACCUUACCAAGGCUUGACAUGUUCUCGAUCGCCGUAGAGAUACGGUUUCCCCUUUGGGGCGGGUUCACAGGUGGUGCAUGGUUGUCGUCAGCUCGUGUCGUGAGAUGUUGGGUUAAGUCCCGCAACGAGCGCAACCCUCGUUCCAUGUUGCCAGCACGUCGUGGUGGGGACUCAUGGGAGACUGCCGGGGUCAACUCGGAGGAAGGUGAGGACGACGUCAAAUCAUCAUGCCCCUUAUGUCUUGGGCUUCACGCAUGCUACAAUGGCCGGUACAAUGGGUUGCGAUACUGUGAGGUGGAGCUAAUCCCAAAAAGCCGGUCUCAGUUCGGAUUGGGGUCUGCAACUCGACCCCAUGAAGUCGGAGUCGCUAGUAAUCGCAGAUCAGCAACGCUGCGGUGAAUACGUUCCCGGGCCUUUGUACACACCGCCCGUCAAGUCACGAAAGUUGGUAACACCCGAAGCCGGUGGCCUAACCCUUGU
Molecule: ribosomal RNA, 1270 nt
Filed under: Micrococcus luteus
Lineage: Bacteria; Bacillati; Actinomycetota; Actinomycetes; Micrococcales; Micrococcaceae
Description: bacterial SSU rRNA
Rfam family: Bacterial small subunit ribosomal RNA
Source: RNAcentral